CUCCUGCAUGUCUUUACUCACAUCCUCACUGCCACGCAGGCGCACCAGCGCUGUCAACACAACACAAUCACAAUGUGUCUUUGUCUUCCACAUUAAGGAUGAGAAUAUAAAAAUGCUCUGUUCGCAUGUGAGAAUCUUCUGACAACCAUGAAGGUCAUUACAUUGUAUUUAAGUAUUUUCAUACACAGUAUAUACUGUAUAUGUACUUCUAAACACUUCUACUGAACUACAAUUCUGAGAGAAAUAUUGAACUUGUUACUUCACAGAUUUGGAUUAAUAAUACAAAAUAUAAUUCAUUAAUUAUAGAGCUACUUUAGCUUAUUAUUAUUAUAAGUAUAGAGCUUAUGAUAGGUGAACUGACAUUAGAGUAUGUACAAUAACCCCCUCUUUCCCCAGCUGCAACAUUAACAUUAAAGUGAUAAUAAUGCAUCAUAAUUAUAAUAUUAUAAUAUAAGCAAUUGGUUCAGUUGUUAGGAGAAACUUAAACAAGCUUAUUUAUCUUCACCGGGAGCUGAAAAACAAAUUUGCUGCAUUGAAACAACUGAAAGGUUGACUUUAAGAAAAUGUAUUAUGUCAACAGAGAUGUCACAUAACUGUAUUAGGUUAGUUGAGAGCACCACAAACUGCAGGCAGUCACUAUGAUGCAGCUCUCAUGAGUGGAGCCUCGUGUUUGUUUGUGUUUGUUUCAGAGGAGAGGUGUGAAGAGGAAGAGGGUCAGCGCCUGAGAGACGACCCUGACAGCCUGCGUGUUGAACAGAUGCCAAAACCUUCUGCCUGCUCAAGGACUCUUCUUCCUGCAGGAUAAACAUCGCCCAGACUCACCUCAAUUCACCCCUGCCUGCAACUAAUGCUAUCUCUAUAUUGAAUCGAUCCUUCUGUCGUGCUUUUCUCACUUUUCUCAGCAGAUCUUUUACCAAAGCUUUGAAUGUCGUCGACAUUCUUUUUUAGAUUAAAUACAUUUUUUCUAAAACUGUUUUAACAGUAUUUUCACUAGUUCCAGCAGUAUCGGCAGUGGUGUAUUUGUUAAUAUAGACAUUAGUGUCAUUUGUAAAAAAAGUGAUAUUGUAAGCUGAAGUUUUGUCAGUAUUAGUGCGUACCUUUGCGUGCCUGCUCCUCCUGUUUAAGGUUGAUGAGCAGGAAGCGAGGGCUCUCAGGGCAGAAGGGCAGCAGGAUGCACUGCAGCACAGCAGGGACCACGGUGAGGGACAGCAGCAGGGGCCACAGCUUGGCUGAGCCCAGCAGACCCUCCAGCCCGAAGACCUAAACACCAAGGGGCACAAAAGCUGGGAAACCUCCUGCUGACCUGAGCGAUGAGGAUGCCCACUACCACACCGAGCUGGUGAAGAGUCCCGAAGGCCCCUCGUAGUGGAGUUGGUGACACCUCGCCCACGUACAUGGGAGUCAGACCGGUAAAGAGCCCGCAGAACAGGCCGAUGACCAGGCGACCGGCGAUUACCAUCUCAUAGGAGGAGCAGAUGGUGGAGAAGCCCAUGAGGAGGCCGCCGAUCACCGCUAGAAUGUUCACCAGGAACAUGGAGCGACGCCUGGGGAAUAAGAGGAGGAGGAGAGAGAGCAUUAGCUUUGUUUAGCUAACAGUUCUUCUAACAGCAUGGUCAUUUAAAUGUUUGUAGCUUAGUGAUUUGAAUGACAAUAGAGGAAGGGAGGUUGUUGGUGGGGUGAGCAGAAUCAGAAUGCCUUUAUUAGUCCCAUAGAGGGGACAUUUGAGAAGUUACAGCAGAAAGAAAAAAGCCACAGAGUGACAGCUUAAUGUAUGUUACAUGCAUUAAAAAGUACUAAGUUAUGAUAUAAUAAAAAAUAUAAAAAAUAUAAUU
Long non-coding RNA from Gymnodraco acuticeps, 1832 nucleotides. RefSeq lists it as uncharacterized. Lineage: Eukaryota; Metazoa; Chordata; Actinopteri; Perciformes; Bathydraconidae. The record is from RefSeq and is a predicted model, not a curated record. The transcript has 2 exons.